GUGAGCUACCACCCCUGGCCUCCUAGGGUAUUUUAAUUGCUGAUGCUUCAUUGCUUUAGUUCUCAACUCAAUGUUACCUUGUCAGAUAGCUAGCCCUGCUAGGCUGCUAUAUUAUAUUCCUCUUUUAUUUCCUUCAUAGAACUUAACCAAAACCUGAAAUAGUCUGUUUUAUUUACUAAUUUGAAAGUAUAAAAAUGUAAGCCUCUUAUAGGCUGACAUCUUGCUGAUGUUACCACUGUAUCAGUAAUACCCAAAAUAAUAAUGUCUAGCACUAAUUCAAUACAUAUGAAUGAAAAACCAAACUUAACUGGCCAAUUCCGUGCUUCUUGAUUUGUUUAUACAGUAGAUCUUCCUCUAAUUGACAGCCUCAUUCGGGUCUUACAAAAUAUGGAACAGUGUCAGAAAAAACCAGAGAACUCGGCAGAGGCUAACACAGAAGAAACUAAAAAGACUGAUUUAACCCAAGAUGAUUUCCACUUGAAAAUCUUAAAGGAUAUUUUAUGUGAAUUUCUUUCUAAUAUUUUUCAGGCAUUAACAAAGGAGACGGUGGCUCAGGGAGUAAAGGAAGGCCAGUUGAGCAAACAGAAGUGUUCCUCUGCAUUUCAAAACCUUCUUCCUUUCUAUAGCCCUGUGGUGGAAGAUUUUAUUAAAAUCCUACGCGAAGUUGAUAAGGCGCUUGCUGAUGACUUGGAAAAAAACUUCCCAAGUUUGAAGGUUCAGACUUAAAACCUGAAUUGGAAUUACUUCUGUACAAGAAAUAGACUUUAUUUUUCUCACUGACAGUUGAAAUUGACUUAUUGGAAAUAUUAACUAAAGCCCAUAUUAG
Molecule: long non-coding RNA, 826 nt
Filed under: Gorilla gorilla gorilla (western lowland gorilla)
Lineage: Eukaryota; Metazoa; Chordata; Mammalia; Primates; Hominidae
Description: lncRNA (ENSGGOG00000044588.1)
Source: RNAcentral